AAUGGACGAAAGUCUGACGGAGCACGCCGCGUGAGUGAUGAAGGUUUUCGGAUCGUAAAACUCUGUUGUUAGGGAAGAACAAGUACCGUUCGAAUAGGGCGGCACCUUGACGGUACCUAACCAGAAAGCCACGGCUAACUACGUGCCAGCAGCCGCGGUAAUAAAA
RNAcentral lists this ribosomal RNA (166 nucleotides) under Bacillus licheniformis. RNAcentral's name for it is "partial 16S ribosomal RNA". It matches the Rfam family "Bacterial small subunit ribosomal RNA", at positions 370 to 528 of the family's 1533-position model. Lineage: Bacteria; Bacillati; Bacillota; Bacilli; Caryophanales; Bacillaceae. The record is from RNAcentral.